RNAcentral lists this ribosomal RNA (467 nucleotides) under uncultured bacterium. Its description in RNAcentral is "partial 16S ribosomal RNA". It matches the Rfam family "Bacterial small subunit ribosomal RNA", at positions 29 to 507 of the family's 1533-position model. The record is from RNAcentral.
ACGAACGCUGGCGGCGUGCUUAACACAUGCAAGUCGAACGGAAAGGCCCUGCUUUUGUGGGGUGCUCGAGUGGCGAACGGGUGAGUAACACGUGAGUAACCUGCCCUUGACUUUGGGAUAACUUCAGGAAACUGGGGCUAAUACCGGAUAGGAGCUCCUGCUGCAUGGUGGGGGUUGGAAAGUUUCGGCGGUUGGGGAUGGACUCGCGGCUUAUCAGCUUGUUGGUGGGGUAGUGGCUUACCAAGGCUUUGACGGGUAGCCGGCCUGAGAGGGUGACCGGCCACAUUGGGAAUGAGAUACGGCCGAGACUCCUACGGGAGGAAGGAGGGGGGAAUAUGGCACAAGGGGCGGAAGCUGUAUGCAGAAACGCCGGGUGGGGGAGGACGGCUUUCGGUUGGGACCCCGUUUUCGCCUGGGACGAAGGGGGAGUGACGGUAAUGGGUAAAGAGGCACCGGCUAACUACGUG